Molecule: ribosomal RNA, 253 nt
Filed under: uncultured bacterium
Lineage: Bacteria
Description: partial 16S ribosomal RNA
Rfam family: Bacterial small subunit ribosomal RNA
Source: RNAcentral
UACGGGGGGGGCAAGCGUUGUUCGGAAUUACUGGGCGUAAAGGGUUCGUAGGUGGCUUGCUAAGUCAGACGUGAAAUCCCUCAGCUUAACUGGGGAACUGCGUCUGAGACUGGCAAGCUUGAGUGCAGGAGAGGAACGCGGAAUUCCAGGUGUAGCGGUGAAAUGCGUAGAUAUCGGGAGGAACACCAGUGGCGAAGGCGACUACCUGGCCUGUUCUUGACGCUGAGGCGCGAAAGCUAGGGGAGCAAACGGG